RNAcentral lists this ribosomal RNA (465 nucleotides) under Vreelandella stevensii. Its description in RNAcentral is "partial 16S ribosomal RNA". It matches the Rfam family "Bacterial small subunit ribosomal RNA", at positions 338 to 795 of the family's 1533-position model. Lineage: Bacteria; Pseudomonadati; Pseudomonadota; Gammaproteobacteria; Oceanospirillales; Halomonadaceae. The record is from RNAcentral.
CCUACGGGGGGCUGCAGUGGGGAAUAUUGGACAAUGGGGGCAACCCUGAUCCAGCCAUGCCGCGUGUGUGAAGAAGGCCCUCGGGUUGUAAAGCACUUUCAGUGAGGAAGAACGCCUGGUGGUUAAUACCCAUCAGGAAAGACAUCACUCACAGAAGAAGCACCGGCUAACUCCGUGCCAGCAGCCGCGGUAAUACGGAGGGUGCGAGCGUUAAUCGGAAUUACUGGGCGUAAAGCGCGCGUAGGUGGCUUGAUAAGCCUGUUGUGAAAGCCCCGGGCUCAACCUGGGAACGGCAUCCGGAACUGUCAAGCUAGAGUGCAGGAGAGGAAGGUAGAAUUCCCGGUGUAGCGGUGAAAUGCGUAGAGAUCGGGAGGAAUACCAGUGGCGAAGGCGGCCUUCUGGACUGACACUGACACUGAGGUGCGAAAGCGUGGGUAGCAAACAGGAUUAGAUACCCCAGUAGUC